AGAGUUUGAUCAUGGCUCAGGACGAACGCUGGCGGCGCGCCUAACACAUGCAAGUCGAGCGAGAACCGGGACUUCGGUCCCGGGGACAGCGGCGAACGGGUGCGUAACACGUGAGCAACCUGCCCCGAAGACCGGGACAACCCGAGGAAACUCGGACUAAUACCGGAUGCCCUCACCGGAUCGCAUGGUCUGGUGAGGAAAUGGAUUCCGCUUCGGGAUGGGCUCGCGGUCUAUCAGCUUGUUGGUGGGGUAACGGCCUACCAAGGCGACGACGGAUAGCUGGUCUGAGAGGACGAUCAGCCACACUGGGACUGAGACACGGCCCAGACUCCUACGGGAGGCAGCAGUGGGGAAUCUUGCGCAAUGGGGGAAACCCUGACGCAGCGACGCCGCGUGCGGGAUGAAGGCCUUCGGGUUGUAAACCGCUUUCAGCAGGGACGAAAUUGACGGUACCUGCAGAAGAAGGCCCGGCCAACUACGUGCCAGCAGCCGCGGUA
Molecule: ribosomal RNA, 497 nt
Filed under: uncultured Actinomycetes bacterium
Lineage: Bacteria; Bacillati; Actinomycetota; Actinomycetes
Description: bacterial SSU rRNA
Rfam family: Bacterial small subunit ribosomal RNA
Source: RNAcentral